UGGGCAAGUCUUAUACGACCAGCUCCUGCUGAACUUCCCCAGGCCGGGAACGGAGCAAGGAUAGGUGGUUGAGCGGUGCGAUGUAAGUAGCUUGCCCACU
RNAcentral lists this signal recognition particle RNA (100 nucleotides) under marine eukaryotic metagenome. RNAcentral describes it as "Bacteroidales small SRP". It matches the Rfam family "Bacteroidales small SRP". From Rfam's summary of the family: The non-coding component of the signal recognition particle in Bacteroides The record is from RNAcentral.